Molecule: long non-coding RNA, 199 nt
Filed under: Lathyrus oleraceus (garden pea)
Lineage: Eukaryota; Viridiplantae; Streptophyta; Magnoliopsida; Fabales; Fabaceae
Description: Pisum sativum (pea) long non-coding RNA (PSAT_LNC021005)
Source: RNAcentral
UUGUGGUGGUUUAGAUGAGUAUUCUCCUUAAGAUGACAACUUAUCUCUUCUUCUAAAAUCAACUAGACAAACCCUUUUGUUAUUUUUACCCUGAACUACGGGAUUUUAAUCCUCCAUUGGUACGUAGGCAGAAGACUUUAUGUCUUUUCAAAUCAAAAAGCAAUAAAACACUCUUCUCUUCUCAUCUCCCCGAUAUUUG